Molecule: ribosomal RNA, 424 nt
Filed under: uncultured bacterium
Lineage: Bacteria
Description: partial 16S ribosomal RNA
Rfam family: Bacterial small subunit ribosomal RNA
Source: RNAcentral
AAUUUCUGACAAUGGGCGCAAGCCUGAUCCAGCCAUGCCGCGCGAGUGAAGAACGCCUAAGGGUUGUAAAGCUCCUUCGGACGGCAAGAAAUCGCACAAGCUAAUACCCCGCGCGGAUGACGGUACCGUCAUAAAAAGCCCCGCCCAACUACGUGCCAGCAGCCGCGGUAAUACGUAGGGUGCGAGCGUUAAUCGGAAUUACUGGGCGUAAAGCGUGCGCAGGCGGUUGAUUAAGACAGGCGUGAAAUCCCCGGGCUUAACCUGGGAACUGCGCUUGUGACUGGUCAGCUAGAGUACAGCAGAGGGGGGUGGAAUUCCACGUGUAGCAGUGAAAUGCGUAGAGAUGUGGAGGAACACCGAUGGCGAAGGCAGCCCCCUGGGCCGAUACUGAAGCUCAUGCACGAAAGCGUGGGUAGCAAACAGG